UUUUCUACGGGACGCAGCAGUGGGGGAUAUUGCACAAUGGGGGAAACCCUGAUGCAGCGACGCCGCGUGGGCGAAGAAGUAUUUCGGUAUGUAAAGCCCUAUCAGCAGGGAAGAAGAAAUGACGGUACCUGAGUAAGAAGCACCGGCUAAAUACGUGCCAGCAGCCGCGGUAAUACGUAUGGUGCAAGCGUUAUCCGGAUUUACUGGGUGUAAAGGGAGCGCAGGCGGCACGGCAAGCCUGAUGUGAAAGCCAGCGGCCCCACCGCGGGACUGCAUGGGGAACUACCGGGCUGGAGUGCCGGAGG
This 305-nucleotide ribosomal RNA is filed under the name uncultured bacterium. RNAcentral describes it as "bacterial SSU rRNA". It matches the Rfam family "Bacterial small subunit ribosomal RNA", at positions 335 to 655 of the family's 1533-position model. The record is from RNAcentral.